UGUUUCGGCUAGGGGGCCAUCCCGGCUUACCAACCCGAUGCAAACUGCGAAUACCGGAGAAUGUUAUCACGGGAGACACACGGCGGGUGCUAACGUCCGUCGUGAAGAGGGAAACAACCCAGACCGCCAGCUAAGGUCCCAAAGUCAUGGUUAAGUGGGAAACGAUGUGGGAAGGCCCAGACAGCCAGGAUGUUGGCUUAGAAGCAGCCAUCAUUUAAAGAAAGCGUAAUAGCUCACUGGUCGAGUCGGCCUGCGCGGAAGAUGUAACGGGGCUAAACCAUGCACCGAAGCUGCGGCAGCGACACUGUGUGUUGUUGGGUAGGGGAGCGUUCUGUAAGCCUGUGAAGGUGUGUCGUGAGGCAUGCUGGAGGUAUCAGAAGUGCGAAUGCUGACAUAAGUAACGAUAAAGCGGGUGAAAAGCCCGCUCGCCGGAAGACCAAGGGUUCCUGUCCAACGUUAAUCGGGGCAGGGUGAGUCGACCCCUAAGGCGAGGCCGAAAGGCGUAGUCGAUGGGAAACAGGUUAAUAUUCCUGUACUUGGUGUUACUGCGAAGGGGGGACGGAGAAGGCUAUGUUGGCCGGGCGACGGUUGUCCCGGUUUAAGCGUGUAGGCUGGUUUUCCAGG
RNAcentral lists this ribosomal RNA (624 nucleotides) under Salmonella enterica subsp. enterica serovar Newport. RNAcentral describes it as "partial 23S ribosomal RNA". It matches the Rfam family "Bacterial large subunit ribosomal RNA", at positions 911 to 1536 of the family's 2925-position model. The record is from RNAcentral. Lineage: Bacteria; Pseudomonadati; Pseudomonadota; Gammaproteobacteria; Enterobacterales; Enterobacteriaceae.